AUCCACCUCAAGAUGAUCAUGAGCAAUCUCUAAUCUUACGUGACCGUCCCUAGAGCAAGUGGCAAAGGACUUGAUAGUUGGUAUUCAAGAUUCAAGUUCGAAUUCUAGUUAGAUUCACAUUUCCAGCUAAGUUUAUUUCUAAAUGAAAUAAAUAAAGCGGAUAGCGUUUUACCUAUUUCUCUAAAAAAAAAAAAGAAGCAAUCUCUAAUCUUAAAAUACAAUAUUAAAUCAAGUUAGAUUUGGAGCAUAAAAAAUCCUAUAUAAUAUUGGAGUGAUCGAUUAUGAAAUAUGAUAUCUUUUAUUAUACAUUGCUUGUAGGAGGAAGUCUACUAUGUAUCACUUACACCACAUUAUCAAUAAUCAAUCAAUUGCAUCGAUCUAUUUAAGAGAAAAGUAUGUAUAAUAAAAAAUAUUUUUUUAAUAAUUAUAAUGAAAUGGAUGGAUUCAAGAAGAACAAUUUAAUUGAUUGAUAACGUUAUAUCUGUUAGAUGUGACUCGAAAUUGAUAAUCGACUUAAGUUCGGAUUUUCGACUCGCCGACAGUUUUGUAGUGCGACCAAAUUGAAAAAUAAAACUGUGAAGGAAAAAUGAAUGUCUGUGAUGGAUAGCGAAGGGCUCAAGCCGAUAGAUUCAAGAGGCGUGAGAUCGUGGUCGGUCGUACCCUCUAAACAUUGUAUUUUCUUUU
Molecule: long non-coding RNA, 684 nt
Filed under: Ananas comosus (pineapple)
Lineage: Eukaryota; Viridiplantae; Streptophyta; Magnoliopsida; Poales; Bromeliaceae
Description: long non-coding RNA (ACOM_LNC004820)
Source: RNAcentral